UACGGGAGGCAGCAGUGGGGAAUAUUGCACAAUGGGCGCAAGCCUGAUGCAGCCAUGCCGCGUGUAUGAAGAAGGCCUUCGGGUUGUAAAGUACUUUCAGUCGUGAGGAAGGUGUUAAGGUUAAUAACCUUAGCAAUUGACGUUAGCGACAGAAGAAGCACCGGCUAACUCCGUGCCAGCAGCCGCGGUAAUACGGAGGGUGCGAGCGUUAAUCGGAAUUACUGGGCGUAAAGGGCACGCAGGCGGUUAAUUAAGUUGGAUGUGAAAUCCCCGGGCUUAACCUGGGAAUGGCAUUCAAGACUGGUUAGCUAGAGUCUUGUAGAGGGGGUAGAAUUCCAUGUGUAGCGGUGAAAUGCGUAGAGAUGUGGAGGAAUCCGGUGGCGAAGGCGGCCCCUGGGACAAAGGCUGACGCUCAUGUGCGAAAGCGUGGGGAGCAAAC
This 439-nucleotide ribosomal RNA is filed under the name uncultured bacterium. RNAcentral describes it as "bacterial SSU rRNA". It matches the Rfam family "Bacterial small subunit ribosomal RNA", at positions 340 to 773 of the family's 1533-position model. The record is from RNAcentral.